Molecule: ribosomal RNA, 251 nt
Filed under: uncultured prokaryote
Description: partial 16S rRNA
Rfam family: Bacterial small subunit ribosomal RNA
Source: RNAcentral
ACGGAGGGUGCGAGCGUUAAUCGGAAUCACUGGGCGUAAAGCGCACGUAGGCGGUGUCGUAAGUCGGAUGUGAAAGCCCUCGGCUCAACCGGGGAACUGCAUUCGAUACUGCGCAGCUUGAGUGCCCAACAUGGUCAAGGACAUCCAGAUGAACGACCGCACCCGAAACAUCUCCGGAGGCGCCACAAUGGCGAAGGCUGCCACCUGCCCGGAAACUAACGCUGCGGUGCCACAGAGUGUGCAUCAACUAG